GUUUUGGUUCGCGGCGACGCGAUUAAUAGGGAAUCCGGUGAGAAUCCGGGACAGACCCGCUACUGUAAUUCUUUUAAAACCCAUCGACAUGAUGUCACUGUCGGUUUUUCCGCCGGGAAGGCGUCGAUGGGGGGAUAAGUCAGGAGACCUGCCAAGACAACA
RNAcentral lists this non-coding RNA (162 nucleotides) under human gut metagenome. The record is from RNAcentral.